ACUUUAAGUUACUGUAGGGUCUGCUUUAAACUACUUCCAAAGCAGAUGAUAAAGCAAAGGGUGGUGGUUAAUUUGUAGAAAAUAAACAGAAUUGAAGGCGCUAAUGGGAAGACAUGUCAAGAGAAAAGGAUCUAAGGGGACCAGCUCUCGACAGGGUCUACUGAGGCUGGUGUGAAGCUUGGAAUUAUGGCUGUAAGUGUCUCCAUCUGUCUGGGAAGGAAGAGUUCUUUAGUAGUGCAGGAGCACUAAGGUAACUUCUGCCCAGCUGAUGACCCUAGUGCCCAUAUUAACAUGGAACUGACUUGUAGACGAAGCCCCCCUAAAUAGAAUGGCCACCGUGACAGUUCUGGAGAGGACCAGCUAAGGUCAAAAGUGGGUUAUCAUGGAUGUGUGUCGCAGCUCCAGAGGACAGAAAACAAAAGCUGCUCUUUGGCCAUCUCAGGUGACCAAGGGAAAAGACCCGUGAUUCAGUUGCCAGGAUCAUAGCGUCAUAGGAAAGCAGGGAGCUGAAACUCCAAACUCAAAAACUCUACCUCCCUGCAUGAAGGAGGAGUUGAACACCUGGUUGGCCAAGAGUGCAGAAGGUGGGCCCCAGCUCACUGAUGAACUUCGAACAGGAAAUCCCUCCUCCGGAAUUCCCUCCUACCGCACUUCCCCAACCAAUGGGAACUCUCCGGGAGUCCCACCAGAGCUCCAAAGUAGCAGGCCCAGGCAGACAGCAGGGUCUAAUCUCCAGUUGAACGCAGAUCUUAACAUAAUCAUUAUCGUCUCAAGGGCUUGUUGGGGUCACCUUCAACCAAAAAUGCCAUGCGUCAUUCCUACUUGGCUAUGGCUCUCAGCAGACUUUAAGUCCUCUUUUGUCGGAACACAAGUGCUGUUAUUUUCAUAAAGAAAUGCUGAGCCAAUUCGAGAAUGCGAAUCAAAGCUACACUGAGAUUUCGUCUCACUCUAGUCAGAAUGGCAAUCAUCAAGAAUACAAGUAACAACAAGUGUUGACAAGGAUGUGGGGGAAAGGUGCACUCACACAUUGCUGGUGGGACUGAAAAUUGGUGCGACCACUAUGGAAAGCAGCAUGGAGACUCCUAAGAAAACUUGGAAUGGAACCACCAUUUGAUCCAGUUAUUCCACUCCUAGGUCUAUAACAAAAGAACUUAAAAUCAGCAUACUACAGUGAUGCAGCUACAUCAAUGUUUAUAGCAGCUCAAUUCACAAUAGCUAGACUAUGGAAACAACUAAGGUGCCCUUCAGUAGAUGAAUGGCUAAAGAAACUGUGGUACAUAUAUACAAUGGAAUAUUACUCAGCCUUAAAAAAGAAUGAAAUUAUGGCAUUUGCAUGAAAAUGAAUGGAACUGGAGAAUAUUAUACUAAGCAAAAUAAGCCAAUCCCAAAGAAUCAAAGGCUGAAUGUUUUCUCUGAUAUGUGAAUGCUAAUUCACAAUAAGGUGGUGGUGGGGAAGGAAUAGAGGUAUUUUGAACUAAACAGAGAGGAGUGAAGGGAGGGGAGGUGAAGUGGCACCCCCUUUCUUCACUGAAAAAUCAUAAGUCGGCCUCUCCAGAAAUCUUCACCCAGACUGAUUUUAGGUCAGCAAAAGAGUCUCUGCAAAAGAGUUCAAUGUAGAUAAACUUUCUAUUUUCAUGUUGCCCUGUUUACUUGGCCACUGGCUGGGAAGAUACCAGCACUCCAGGUGCUGGACACCCCCUUACUAGUUUUCACAAACAUAUCCAGUAUAGUAGUUUGUAGAAAUGUGCAAACAAGGCCUCUGGCUUUGAGCUGGGGCUUCACAGAGAUGCCUACAUUUUUAAGAUAAGUUACAAUUGGGCUCCAUGGUAACAGCUGGUAGGGGGAGAAAAGAAGGGGAGAAGAAGCUCUCCCCUUCUCAGGUGUGGUCCUUGAAGGGUUAACAUGCUCAGAACAGUGAAAGAAAAAGCUGCUUUUAUGUGAACUUCUGCAGACUCUGAACUUCUGAGCCCCUCCCCUUACAUGCUGGGUAUAAAACUCUGAAACUCCCUGAACUCGGGGUUCAGGGGAUUGAUUGAUUAGAGCAAAAGCUGUGCCCUCUGAGCCUGGCUGCAGCCAAAUAAAAUGUUUCCUGCUGUCUUCGGUGCCUGGCCUCGUCUGUCCCUACAACAGGGAUCAUGGGGGUAGGAAUGACAGUAGAAUGAAUCGAACAUUCUUACCCUAUAUGCAUAUAUGACUACAUGCUGAGUAACUCUACAUCAUGUACAACCAGAUGAAUGAGAAGUUACACUCCAUUUAUGUAUAAUGUGUCAAAAUGAAUUCUACUGUCAUGUAUAACUAAUUAGAACAAAUUUAAAAAAGAAAGAAAGAAAAGCUGAGCGUACGAUUCAUAGAUUCAGAGUUGUUUUGUGUUCCGGUAGUCCAGUAUCUGCCGCCUCCGGUCUGCUGCUUGCUGUCUCUGGUGGACUUUGUUCUCUUGUCUUUCUGCAUUCCUGGUGGGUUUGUCUUGGAGGGAAGACAUGCCACAUUGGAGAGAAGGGACAGGCUGACAGUCCCUUGGAGUGGGGUGUAUCUGGCCAGUGGCUAGGCUGUUGCCUGUUGUAGCCGUAGGCGUCAGAGGCUAGUUUCCUGAGUGCCCUUGUUUUUGUCUCCCACUAGUAUUAAGUUCUCUUAGAUUCCUUCUGAGAGGAGGCUGAGAAGAACUGUGAGGGCUGCAUCCCAGCACCUGUGAUGCCAGAUUCGUGGGACCCCAGUAGACCUCCAGGAGCCGAAUCCGAUGCAAUCACACAAGAGUCUUUACUGCAAGCUCGAGCCUGGACUCACAACUAUUCCCGAUGCAGCAGUGCCAGGGAGUGAAUCCUGGUCCUUUGUUCAGUGAGAUUUUAUAGGUUUUGGGGGGAUACUCUAUGCAUCACAACAUCACACAGCAAAUCAUUCCAUACCGCGGGAAAGUCAAACAACAACUCUUAACAUUGAUUAGCACAUUCACUGGCGGGAACAAGUUGGGUAGGGAUGAGAGCGGGAUUCCUUUGAACUGACUGGUUUAGGCCACGAGGGGCGUACGUGCUGAACUACAUGGUUUCCCAACACGUUAUCAACCACCAUAAACUACUGGGGGGUCAUCUGGCAUC
This 3089-nucleotide long non-coding RNA is filed under the name Marmota monax (woodchuck). The record is from RNAcentral. Lineage: Eukaryota; Metazoa; Chordata; Mammalia; Rodentia; Sciuridae.